Molecule: ribosomal RNA, 428 nt
Filed under: uncultured prokaryote
Description: partial 16S ribosomal RNA
Rfam family: Bacterial small subunit ribosomal RNA
Source: RNAcentral
UGGGGAAUAUUGCGCAAUGGGCGGAAGCCUGACGCAGCCACGCCGCGUGUGUGAUGAAGGCUUUCGGGUCGUAAAGCACUGUCGGGAGGGAAGAAGCUCUGACGGUACCUCCCAAGAAAGCACCGGCUAACUCCGUGCCAGCAGCCGCGGUAAUACGGAGGGUGCGAGCGUUGCUCGGAAUCACUGGGCGUAAAGCGUACGUAGGCGGAUUGUGAAAGUCGGGUGUGAAAGCCCAGGGCUCAACCCUGGAAUUGCGCUCGAUACUGCCAGUCUUGAGUACGGGAGAGGGAUAGCGGAAUGUCUGGUGUAGAGGUGAAAUUCGUAGAUAUCAGACGGAACACCAGUGGCGAAAGCGGCUUCCUGGCCCGAUACUGACGCUGAGGUACGAAAGUGUGGGGAGCAAACAGGAUUAGAUACCCCCGUAGUCC